GGCUUCGUAGCUCAACUGGUAGAGCAUUUGUCACUUCUGGGGAUGUUGUUUUUGUCGCUGGUUCGAAUUCAGCCGAAGUCC
Molecule: non-coding RNA, 81 nt
Organism: Paragonimus skrjabini miyazakii
Lineage: Eukaryota; Metazoa; Platyhelminthes; Trematoda; Plagiorchiida; Troglotrematidae
Source: the annotation of a GenBank genome assembly